Non-coding RNA from Phasianus colchicus (ring-necked pheasant), 480 nucleotides. Lineage: Eukaryota; Metazoa; Chordata; Aves; Galliformes; Phasianidae. The record is from RefSeq and is a predicted model, not a curated record.
CAGUCCCUCCCAGUCCUUCUCAAUCCCAUUUCAUUCCAUCCCAGUUCCUCCCAGUCUCCUCCCAGUACAUCCCAGUCCAAUUCAAGCCUUUCCCAGUGCAACCUCAUCCUCUCCCAGUCCCUCCCAGUCCCAUUUCAUUCCCUCCCAGUCCAUCCCAGUCCAAUUCCAGUCCUUCCCAUCCCCUCCCAGUCCAUCCCAGUGCUCCCAGUUGUAACCAGUCUCCCUUUGCAGCACCUCCAUAUCUCUGGAUGAGGAGAAGAGCGCGGCGGCGGUGGCGGCCGUUUGCUCCUACCUGAGGCUGCAGGGGGUGAAGCCCAAGGGGGGCAGUGGAGACGCCAAGAAACCCAAAGGCCACUUCUUCCGGAAGAAGCUGCCGGGGGGGCGGAAGGCGGAGGAGGCGAAGCACAAAAAGGGAUUUUCCUUGGCGGGGGCGGCGCUGUGGGGCAGAGAUGGUGAGAAAUAAUGGGGGACCCCAUAAAA